RNAcentral lists this ribosomal RNA (253 nucleotides) under uncultured bacterium. RNAcentral's name for it is "partial 16S ribosomal RNA". It matches the Rfam family "Bacterial small subunit ribosomal RNA", at positions 524 to 776 of the family's 1533-position model. The record is from RNAcentral.
UACGGGGGGGGCAAGCGUUGUUCGGAAUUACUGGGCGUAAAGGGCUCGUAGGCGGCCAACUAAGUCGGAUGUGAAAUCCCCAGGCUCAACCUGGGAACUGCGUCCGAUACUGGAUGGCUUGAAUCCGGGAGAGGGAUGUGGAAUUCCAGGUGUAGCGGUGAAAUGCGUAGAUAUCUGGAGGAACACCGGUGGCGAAGGCGGCAUCCUGGACCGGCAUUGACGCUGAGGCGCGAAAGCCAGGGGAGCAAACGGG